RNAcentral lists this long non-coding RNA (382 nucleotides) under Capsicum annuum. RNAcentral describes it as "long non-coding RNA (CANN_LNC003493)". The record is from RNAcentral. Lineage: Eukaryota; Viridiplantae; Streptophyta; Magnoliopsida; Solanales; Solanaceae.
ACCAACUCGAACGCAUUCAACUGCUGUUCAGCGUACAUGGGCCAAGCGGCUAUCGGGACCCCGAAACACAAGCUUUCUAGUACAGAAUUCCAUCCACAAUGAGAUACAAAUCCACCCACUGCGGGAUGAGACAGUAUUGCCACUUGAGGUGCCCAUCCUAUCACUUUCCCAACCCCAUUUGUCCUUUCAAUAAACCCUUGUGGUAGCACUUGCUGAAAAUCCUCGUAAUUACUAGGCAGCUCGAGUUUCCCCUUUGGUGGAGGUCUUCGUAAGGACCAUAAGAACCUGUGACCGCUACAUUCUAGUGCAACUGCUAUUUCUUUGAUCUGUUGAGUAUCAAAGCUUCCCAUGCUGCCGAAGCACAAAAACACCACAGAUGACU